RNAcentral lists this ribosomal RNA (491 nucleotides) under uncultured bacterium. Its description in RNAcentral is "partial 16S ribosomal RNA". It matches the Rfam family "Bacterial small subunit ribosomal RNA", at positions 28 to 507 of the family's 1533-position model. The record is from RNAcentral.
GAUGAACGCUGGCUACAGGCUUAACACAUGCAAGUCGAGGGGAAACGACGGGGAAGCUUGCUUCCCCGGGCGUCGACCGGCGCACGGGUGAGUAACGCGUAUCCAACCUGCCUCUGACUGAGGGAUAACCCGUCGAAAGUCGGCCUAAUACCUCAUGGCAUCGUCUGCGGGCAUCCAACGACGAUUAAAGAUUUCAUCGGUCAGGGAUGGGGAUGCGUCUGAUUAGCUUGUUGGCGGGGUAACGGCCCACCAAGGCUACGAUCAGUAGGGGUUCUGAGAGGAAGGUCCCCCACAUUGGAACUGAGACACGGUCCAAACUCCUACGGGAGGCAGCAGUGAGGAAUAGUGGUCAAUGGGCGGGAGCCUGAACCAGCCAAGUAGCGUGCAGGAGGACGGCCCUAUGGGUUGUAAACUGCUUUUAGGCGGGGAUAAAGUGAGGGACGUGUCCUUCAUUGCAGGUACCGCAUGAAUAAGGACCGGCUAAUUCCGUG